This is a long non-coding RNA of Alligator sinensis (Chinese alligator), 748 nucleotides long. RefSeq lists it as uncharacterized. NCBI's taxonomy places the organism in Eukaryota, Metazoa, Chordata, Crocodylia, Alligatoridae. The record is from RefSeq and is a predicted model, not a curated record. The transcript has 5 exons.
CACACUUAAUCUGAUUUCACUCCUUGAGCAUCAGCAUAGGACACUGAUAAACUUGCUCUGCAGUGGAAAGGGAAAGAUUUACUCAGUUUGUGGUGCAAAAGGAAAAGUCUGGAUGAAGAUUUUAUCAAUUAUGUGGGGAGAUGAGUGCUAAUGCAGGAUGCUGUGCUAGCUGUGCUGAAGACUACAUGCCUUAACAUGCAGAAGGAGCAGCCAUCUCCUCAGCCUGGUUCCUAUUCAUCUGCACUUUUACAUGCAAAGUAGGGACUUGGAUUCCAAGGGCCAGUAAUGAUCUUCAGAGCCUGGCAGCUGCAAAUGGAACAGCUGUAGAUACAUUAGCUCAGCACCUAGAUGCAGUGACACAUCUCUGGCCACCCAGGCUGCUGCUCAUUGUUAGCAUCACCAGUGGCAGAGGAGGCUACAGAAAGACUCCUGUUUAUUGGUAGAGGAGACCCCAGGAAGGACCUAUGUGUACCUCCUACUGCCCUGCCUACAGGGCAUUCCUCCCCACUCCCUCUCAGGCACUAAGACUAUACAGCGAUCAGGAGAUGCAAGUACAACCUGAGGAGGACACAUCUGAACUCACUCCAGCAGCAGCAGCCCAUCAGAACCAGACUGAGAGAGACUCACCCGUGACCAGUUGAGCUUCAUUACUUCCCAGAAGACAAUGAACAUCCAUUAGAAACCCGGUCUUCCUUUCAGUCAGCAGGACCUCUGGGAAGUCAGCACACCAAGAGGAAUGAACAGUCUC